UUGACAUUUCGCAUCGUGGGCGAUCGCUCCGCCGUCGCGGCGGAGCGGUUGAAAAGGGAAGGGGGUGAGAAACCCCCGCUGCCCCGCAACUGUGAGCGGUACCGAAAGCCGGAGAAUCCCACUGGGAGCCUGAGGCUCCUGGGAAGGGCCGGCGAGUAGACAGCCGCGAGCCAGGAAACCUGCCCGCGAUGAUGUCGUGAC
This 201-nucleotide non-coding RNA is filed under the name Acidobacteriota bacterium. The record is from RNAcentral. Lineage: Bacteria; Pseudomonadati; Acidobacteriota.